This 260-nucleotide long non-coding RNA is filed under the name Vitis vinifera (wine grape). RNAcentral's name for it is "long non-coding RNA (VVIN_LNC003521)". Lineage: Eukaryota; Viridiplantae; Streptophyta; Magnoliopsida; Vitales; Vitaceae. The record is from RNAcentral.
AAAUAAAUAAGUUAAGGAAAAUAAUAUAAAGAGGAAGAUAACCAAUAAAAAGUGAAUGAUAAUCAUAAAACUAAAACUAAAAAUAAAAAAUAAUAAUAAAAAUAAAAAUAAACAAAUUAACAAAAAAUGGGCCCCACGAGCCAUGCAAACACGCAAGUCAUAUAAGUUACGCUAAAAAAAAAAGUCUUAAUAGACCCAGUACACCUAAACGGGCCUAAGGUGAGACUAAGUGGGCCUAAGGUGGUGCCUAAUGGGCCAAG